RNAcentral lists this long non-coding RNA (512 nucleotides) under Junco hyemalis (dark-eyed junco). Its description in RNAcentral is "lncRNA (ENSJHYG00000016151.1)". The record is from RNAcentral. Lineage: Eukaryota; Metazoa; Chordata; Aves; Passeriformes; Passerellidae.
AGGAUUCUGUUACUGUGUAAGCUUAAUUAGUAACCAUGCCAUGUUUUAGUUGCAUGGAGUUACCUGGGACAGUUCCUUUGUCUAAUUCACUUGGAGUGCCCUAAAUCUGGACUUUUCAUCAGAAGGCAGCCCAGUGGCCCCAUCCCAGGCUGGGGAAGAAUCCUCGAGCCAGAGCUCGGCGCCGCAUCCAGAGCCUCACGACAGGAGCUGUGCCUCGAGUGGAGUCUUCUGGAGCUGUGAUGAAAACAGGAUUAAAGAAGAAAUCAUUGGCAAUGGAGUGCUGCAACAACGGAAAUGCUUCUUUUCAGUGGAUACUAAAGCUGAGAUGGAUCAUAAUGGAAAGUGACACUGAAAAAUCACAGGUGCAUUGUGAGCCUGAAAUCCCCCACACCCUGAGAUCUCCAUGGGGCCCAGGAAAGGACCCAGAUGCUGCAGCCACCUCCCAGCUGCCAUCUCAAGCACAUGAUUCUCCUGUAAGUUAUAUUUCUUUAUGUAUUUUAGCUGUGUCAUUU